GGUUGUAUAGCUCAGCGGUAGAGCACUGCCCUCAUAAGGCAGCGUGCGGUGGCUCGAACCCACCUGCAACCACCA
This 75-nucleotide transfer RNA is filed under the name Rhodoferax sp. RNAcentral describes it as "tRNA-Ile". It matches the Rfam family "tRNA". Rfam says of the family: Transfer RNA (tRNA) molecules are approximately 80 nucleotides in length. Their secondary structure includes four short double-helical elements and three loops (D, anti-codon, and T loops). The record is from RNAcentral. Lineage: Bacteria; Pseudomonadati; Pseudomonadota; Betaproteobacteria; Burkholderiales; Comamonadaceae.